AGUGACUGCUAGGGGCGCCAUUCGGCUGAGAUGAAUUAAUUCAGUCCCUUAACACCUGAUUUGGAUAAUGCCAACGUAGGAAAGUGGUCGAUGAACGUU
Staphylococcus aureus C0673 is the source of this 99-nucleotide non-coding RNA. The record is from Rfam. NCBI's taxonomy places the organism in Bacteria, Bacillati, Bacillota, Bacilli, Caryophanales, Staphylococcaceae.